GCUUCUGGCAGUUUCGACGCUGACGUCGCUGCCGAGCUCAUUUCGCGUUCGGACUCUGGCAGUGGAGGUUGCUCUGCUCUCUCGUCCCUGGAAUCGGUAACCUCGCCCGCUCGGGUUCCUGGUCACCGAGGAAGGAGCCCGCUAGGCAUCUCUCUCGCCCUCGCGAGCGCCUCAUCAGUUUAAGUUCCUAGACGCCGUUGCGCUCGCGGACGGAGGAAGUCAUGUCCUCGGCCGCCAUGUCGAAGUACGUGAACGACAUGUGGCCCGGCUCUCCCCAGGAGAAAGCCUCGCCGUCCACCUCCGGCUCGGGCCGCUCCAGCCGCCUAUCGUCGCGCUCCCGCAGCCGCUCUUCGUCCCGCAGCUCCAGCCGCUCGUCGUCGCGCAGCCGUAGCCGGCCGCGGAGGAGCAGGCGGUCCCGAUCCCGCUCCCGGUCCCGCAGGCGCCACCAGCGCAAGUACAGGCGCUACUCGCGGUCGUACUCCCGCAGCCGGUCGCGGUCCCGCGGCCACCGCUACCACCGCGACAGCCGUCACGAGCGGCGGCGGAGGUCCUACGCGUCGCCGUCGCCCUACCGGUCCCGGAGCCGGUCGCGCUCCCGUUCCCGCGGGAGGUCGCACCACCGGUGGUCCUACUACGCCGCGAUCACUCGAGGGCGGCGCUACUACGGCUUCGGCCGAACCGUGUACCCCGAGGAUCGCCCCCGGUGGAGGGAAAGAUCUAGAACCAGGUCGCGCAGCAGGAGCAGAACUCCUUUUCGCUUGAGUGAGAAGGAUCGAAUGGAACUGCUAGAAAUAGCAAAAGCCAAUGCAGCCAAAGCUCUGGGAACAACCAACUUCGACUUGCCAGCCAGUCUCCGGGCUAAGGAAGCAAGCCAGGGAACAGGCGUUUCCAGCAGUGGGCCAAAGGUGGAGAAAUCAUGAAUGUGGUCUCCAGACAGUGAUGAAGAAAAUCUGUUGGUAAUUGAUCAUGGGUUCAAGUGUCAGUUUGUUUACAGAUUAAAGCUUAGCCUUUGUGGAAGGUAGUCUUGUGUGCAUGCUAGAGUUUUGGGCUAGGGACUAUUGCAUAAGGCAGUUUGACAGUUCAGCAGCCUAGAGGCACUGUCAUGGUGGGGCAUCUGUGAUCUAGACGUCCCUCACAUAAUAUAUGCAAUAUAUUCCAGAUGUUUUGAGAGAUUACAGAAGAAGAGGCCUGCUUCACUUGCAGAUAAGUUUUACAAUUCUCCAGAACUACAGAGGAAGUGCAUUGGCACAUUGCAGUGUAUUUAUGUUUUUUUUUUUUUUUAUGUGAAACCUGGAUCUUAAAUAACCUGGGCUGGGAUAUAACUCAUUUGGUAGAGAACCUUGUCGAGAGUGCAUAGUACCGGGGUUAGUUCCCAUCACUGUAAAUGGGGUUUAGUACCCCAAACCUGUGAUCCCAGCACUUGGGAGGCUGUCCUUGGACAGCUAGGGGAUAAAUACAAGAGACUUGGUCUCAGAAGACUGCUUUAUAGAAAAAGUUAAUGGCAAUAGGAUAAUGAAGAUUUUUUGUCUUUUGCUGAGAUUUCAGGGGCUGCCUAGUAUUUGCUCAGGCAAGUACCUAAGAGGGGCUCCAUGAUGAAAGAAUUGCAAUGCCUCAGUUCUUUAGACAAACCAUUUUUUAUUGUAUUUACUCAAAGUGAGUUGUAUUUACAGUAGGAAGCAGGUAUUCAUAGGGAACUAUGCCUCCUAAGUCUCUAAGUGGAAAGCAGGUUUUUCUUGAUUAGCUUCUUAACUGACUAUAGACUGAAUUUGGCUUGUGUAUCUACAGCUACAUUUGUGUAUGCUGGGCUCUUUUUUUAAUACAGUGUUUAAAAAAAUAAGUCUAUGUUUAAAAUUCUCUUCCUCUUUAGCAUUCAGAAAAGCAGACUGAAGAUGGAACUAAAAAUCCCAGUGAAAAGUCUUCUACACAAAGAAACAUAGCCUUCAGCUCGAAUAAUUCUGUAGCAAAGCCACUGCAGAAAGCAACUAAAGCUGCUGUUGAUGAGAAGUCUU
Mastomys coucha (southern multimammate mouse) is the source of this 2009-nucleotide RNA transcript. It is a transcript of the gene named arginine and serine rich protein 1, with no coding region annotated. The transcript has 5 exons. The record is from RefSeq and is a predicted model, not a curated record. Lineage: Eukaryota; Metazoa; Chordata; Mammalia; Rodentia; Muridae.